RNAcentral lists this ribosomal RNA (394 nucleotides) under uncultured bacterium. Its description in RNAcentral is "partial 16S ribosomal RNA". It matches the Rfam family "Bacterial small subunit ribosomal RNA", at positions 338 to 729 of the family's 1533-position model. The record is from RNAcentral.
CCUACGGGAGGCUGCAGUGAGGAAUAUUGGUCAAUGGACGAAAGUCUGAACCAGCCAAGUCGCGUGAAGGAUGAAGGUUCUAUGGAUUGUAAACUUCUUUUAUAAGGGAAUAAAAUGUUGGACGUGUCGGAUUUUGUAUGUACCUUAUGAAUAAGGAUCGGCUAACUCCGUGCCAGCAGCCGCGGUAAUACGGAGGAUCCGAGCGUUAUCCGGAUUUAUUGGGUUUAAAGGGUGCGUAGGCGGCCUUUUAAGUCAGCUGUGAAAGUUUGUGGCUCAACCAUAGAAUUGCCGUUGAAACUGGGGGGCUUGAGUAUGGUAGAGGCAGGCGGAAUGCGUGGUGUAGCGGUGAAAUGCUUAGAUAUCACGCAGAACCCCGAUUGCGAAGGCAGCCUAC